AGCGAACGCUGGCGGCAGGCUUAACACAUGCAAGUCGAGCGGGCGUAGCAAUACGUCAGCGGCAGACGGGUGAGUAACGCGUGGGAACAUACCUUUUGGUUCGGAACAACACAGGGAAACUUAGUGCUAAUACCGGAUAAGCCCUUACGGGAAGGAUUAUCGCCGAAGAUUGGCCCGCGUCUGAUUAGCUAGUUGGUGAGGUAACGGCUCACCAAGGCGACGAUCAGUAGCUGGUCNGAGAGGAUGAUCCGCCACAUUGGGACUGAGACACGGCCCAAA
Molecule: ribosomal RNA, 279 nt
Filed under: uncultured bacterium
Lineage: Bacteria
Description: partial 16S ribosomal RNA
Rfam family: Bacterial small subunit ribosomal RNA
Source: RNAcentral